AGCGCAGGCGGUCUUUUAAGUCUGAUGUGAAAGCCUUCGGCUUAACCGGAGAAGUGCAUCGGAAACUGGGAGACUUGAGUGCAGAAGAGGACAGUGGAACUCCAUGUGUAGCGGUGAAAUGCGUAGAUAUAUGGAAGAACACCAGUGGCGAAGGCGGCUGUCUGGUCUGUAACUGACGCUGAGGCUCGAAAGCAUGGGGAGCGAACA
Molecule: ribosomal RNA, 207 nt
Filed under: uncultured bacterium
Lineage: Bacteria
Description: partial 16S ribosomal RNA
Rfam family: Bacterial small subunit ribosomal RNA
Source: RNAcentral